RNAcentral lists this ribosomal RNA (252 nucleotides) under uncultured bacterium. Its description in RNAcentral is "partial 16S ribosomal RNA". It matches the Rfam family "Bacterial small subunit ribosomal RNA", at positions 524 to 776 of the family's 1533-position model. The record is from RNAcentral.
UACGUAGGGGGCAAGCGUUAUCCGGAAUCACUGGGCGUAAAGGGUGCGUAGGCGGCCUUUCAAGUCAGAGGUGAAAGGCUACGGCUCAACCGUAGUAAGCCUUUGAAACUGUAGGGCUUGAGUGCAGGAGAGGAAAGUGGAAUUCCUAGUGUAGCGGUGAAAUGCGUAGAUAUUAGGAGGAACACCAGUGGCGAAGGCGACUUUCUGGACUGUAACUGACGCUGAGGCACGAAAGUGUGGGGAGCAAACAGG